GUGAAAUGUGUUGAUUCAAUAUACAGACCUAUUCAGUGAACCAUGAGAUUUUAAAUUGUAUAUCAUCAAAAUCUUGGAAGGUUACAGAAGAAAAAAUUUGGGUUUUCCUUGGCAUAUUCAUUUCCUAAACAACCUUGACAUGAAUAGUCGGAAAUAUGAAUCACUAUAGCUUUUAACCUAUAGAACUAUUUUUUAAAAAUUUACCCGUACUCUAUAUUAUAUUUCGGUCCGAUGCACAUUCAAAGAUUCUAAAAAUAAGUUAACAUAAUUGAUCAUAAUUGGGAUUUCGUAUAAUAAGUUUUGUUCAUUUACAUUAUUUGCAGUCACCCAAGGUAA
Molecule: long non-coding RNA, 336 nt
Filed under: Mytilus galloprovincialis (Mediterranean mussel)
Lineage: Eukaryota; Metazoa; Mollusca; Bivalvia; Mytilida; Mytilidae
Source: RNAcentral